This is a long non-coding RNA of Homo sapiens (human), 1577 nucleotides long. RefSeq lists it as uncharacterized. The record is from RefSeq and is a predicted model, not a curated record. The transcript is spliced from 2 exons. NCBI's taxonomy places the organism in Eukaryota, Metazoa, Chordata, Mammalia, Primates, Hominidae.
UACUGCGAUGAAUAUUUUGUGACGUAUUUCCAUAUCCACAUAUAUGACAGCUUCUCUAGGUUGUGUGUCUCAGAAGAGAAAUAAUGUAUCAUAGAUUUUGGAAGAAGCACGAAAAUGAUUUACUGAUUUAGGAACUGGGUGGAGUAGACCACAAAAAGACAAAUCAAAAACAUCUGGAAUGAACUAGUUGAGAGAGAAAAAGAGAGAGCAAGAAAAAAGUAAGGCUUUCAAAUGAAACAAAGUACAGAUGAUUUGGCCAAAUUUAAGCCAAGCCAAACACUCACAUUGAACAUUGCACUUGGGUGUGUUUCAAGAGCAGGAGCCGGCAAGAGGGAGCCUCAGCCAACACUACAUCAGAGGCACAUUGUGGAUGGAGGAAAUGAGUUUAGUCAAGCCAGCUGUGACUUCAAAGGGGCUGCUCUCCCAGAGAACAGUGAGAAAGGGUUCCCCCUUCAGUGAAGACUGCAAAGUUCAGCCAGCGCCAACCCAAAGGGAAUGGACUCCAGGAAGGGGCAAAUUACAUUCAACAUACAAGAAAGAAUAUUUUCCUUCAUGAAGUGGCUGUGACAGUCUGAAGAGGAAGGAAAAUGACAAAAAAGAAAGGUGAGAAGAAAAUAUUCUGAUGCCCCUUUGGGGACUGUAGUCCUGUGUGCAUACUUAUAAAAUGGGGUAUUUGUAUACACAUUUGUACUUGCAUAAGGUUGCUUUUAAUCUAAGACACCUCCAAGCAUGAAUCAUGUUUCCAAACAUGUGGGAGGAGAGAACAUAGGAUUCUUCCCUGCUGACUGCCAUAGUUUCUUUCCCUCUUUGUGCUUCUAGAAAACUACACAUUUCUUUCAAAUUACUUACUUCACACAAAUUUACUGAGGAACAAUAGGGUGGACCCUGCAUAUUCGAAGACAAGAUCGUCUGUGUUCCAGUUCAAAAGAAGAAGCUAGACACAUAAACUGAAGAUUAUGGUAUUGAGUGAUAAGCCUUGGAGCAGGAAUCCCAAAGUGUGAUCACAUGACCAGCAGCAGCAACAUCACCUGGGAACUUGUUAGAAAUGCAAAUUUGCAGGCCCUAAUCCAAAUCUACUGAAUAAGAAAGUUGAGGUUGAUUUAACAAGCCCUUCAAGUGAUUCAAUGCUUGCUAAAACUGGAGAACCACCUUGAUAGUGAAGGGACAAAAGGACUUUUGUGCAGAGAGCUAACACAUCUGAACUAACCUUGAGAUCCUCUGCCAUCUAUAAAUCACUUCUCAAUCUCUUCCCGAUAAGAUUCUAAAUAGGUGGCUCUCUGGCAAUUCAAGGGAUGAUACACGCGUGUGUGUCUUCUCUCUUUAUGUAAGUUAUAAGAUCUGAAUGACAGAGGCACAUUCUUCUUUUAUGUUUUCUUUCCUUUCUCCUCCUAUUUUUAGGGCCAGUACGUGGAAAAUGCGGAAAUUGGAACUUACUAUAAGUAACUAAUUCAGAAAUCAGGCUGGCAGAAGUGUUAUACAUUCACUGGAAGAAAUUGGUGAAUAUAUGGAAAACAUAAAUGUUAUGUAUCCUGGAACUUAAAAUAAAAAUUAAUAAUAAAAAAUGUUAUCUCUCCCAA